RNAcentral lists this ribosomal RNA (665 nucleotides) under uncultured Pseudomonadota bacterium. RNAcentral describes it as "bacterial SSU rRNA". It matches the Rfam family "Bacterial small subunit ribosomal RNA", at positions 64 to 724 of the family's 1533-position model. The record is from RNAcentral. Lineage: Bacteria; Pseudomonadati; Pseudomonadota.
UAACAGGAAACAGCUUGCUGUUUCGCUGACGAGUGGCGGACGGGUGAGUAAUGUCUGGGAAACUGCCUGAUGGAGGGGGAUAACUACUGGAAACGGUAGCUAAUACCGCAUAACGUCGCAAGACCAAAGAGGGGGACCUUCGGGCCUCUUGCCAUCGGAUGUGCCCAGAUGGGAUUAGCUAGUAGGUGGGGUAACGGCUCACCUAGGCGACGAUCCCUAGCUGGUCUGAGAGGAUGACCAGCCACACUGGAACUGAGACACGGUCCAGACUCCUACGGGAGGCAGCAGUGGGGAAUAUUGCACAAUGGGCGCAAGCCUGAUGCAGCCAUGCCGCGUGUAUGAAGAAGGCCUUCGGGUUGUAAAGUACUUUCAGCGGGGAGGAAGGGAGUAAAGUUAAUACCUUUGCUCAUUGACGUUACCCGCAGAAGAAGCACCGGCUAACUCCGUGCCAGUAGCCGCGGUAAUACGGAGGGUGCAAGCGUUAAUCGGAAUUACUGGGCGUAAAGCGCACGCAGGCGGUUUGUUAAGUCAGAUGUGAAAUCCCCGGGCUCAACCUGGGAACUGCAUCUGAUACUGGCAAGCUUGAGUCUCGUAGAGGGGGGUAGAAUUCCAGGUGUAGCGGUGAAAUGCGUAGAGAUCUGGAGGAAUACCGGUGGCGAAGGCGG